AUACGUAGGGGGCGAGCGUUGUCCGGAAUGACUGGGCGUAAAGGGCGUGUAGGCGGUCUUGCAAGUCAGAAGUGAAAUUCCUGAGCUCAACUCGGGCGCUGCUUCUGAAACUGCGGGACUUGAGUGCUGGAGGGGAUAGCGGAAUUCCUAGUGGAGCGGUAAAAUGCGCAGAUAUUAGGAAGAACACCGGUGGCGAAGGCGGCUAUCUGGACAGUAACUGACGCUGAGGCGCGAAAGUGUGGGGAGCAAACAGGAUUAGAUACCCUGGUAGUCCACACUGUAAACGAUGAAUGCUAGGUGUAAGAGGUAUCGACCCCUUUUGUGCCGGAGUCAACACAAUAAGCAUUCCGCCUGGGGAGUACGGCCGCAAGGUUGAAACUCAAAGGAAUUGACGGGG
This 397-nucleotide ribosomal RNA is filed under the name uncultured bacterium. Its description in RNAcentral is "partial 16S ribosomal RNA". It matches the Rfam family "Bacterial small subunit ribosomal RNA", at positions 523 to 918 of the family's 1533-position model. The record is from RNAcentral.